UCAAAGAUUAAGCCAUGCAUGUCUAAGUAUAAGCAAUUAUACAGCGAAACUGCGAAUGGCUCAUUAUAUAAGUUAUCGUUUAUUUGAUAGUACCUUACUACUUGGAUAACCGUGGUAAUUCUAGAGCUAAUACAUGCUGAAAAUCCCGACUUCGGAAGGGAUGUAUUUAUUAGAUUAAAAACCAAUGCCCUCUGGGCUCCUUGGUGAUUCAUAAUAACUUUUCGAAUCGCACGGCCUUGCGCCGGCGAUGGUUCAUUCAAAUUUCUUCCCUAUCAACUUUCGAUGUUUGGGUAUUGGCCAAACAUGGUCGCAACGGGUAACGGAGGGUUAGGGCUCGACCCCGGAGAAGGAGCCUGAGAAACGGCUACUACAUCCAAGGAAGGCAGCAGGCGCGCAAAUCACCCAAUCCCGANNVGGGGAGGUAGUGACAAUAAAUACUGAUACAGGGCUCUUUUGGGUCUUGUAAUUGGAAUGAGUACAAUUUAAAUCCCUUAACGAGGAACAAUUGGA
This 510-nucleotide ribosomal RNA is filed under the name uncultured fungus. RNAcentral's name for it is "SSU rRNA". It matches the Rfam family "Eukaryotic small subunit ribosomal RNA", at positions 37 to 554 of the family's 1831-position model. The record is from RNAcentral. Lineage: Eukaryota; Fungi.